GGACAAGAAGGUCGGGCUACCCUUGAGGGAAACACGGCAGCUAACGGGCAAUAGGCUGAUGGCGGGGAGAACAGAUAGCGAGGGAGGCAGAUGGGGCUGGUGGGUACAACCCAUACUUCUGAAAACAGCGGGUGCUCCUGCCAUUACGAUGCGUCAGGCGCGGUGCUAAUGACUUUAGGGGCACUAUUUAAUUUAGACCUUCCCACAUCUCUGUAAGGUGAAGAAACUAAGAUUCCAAAGGGAUUAAGUAAGACUGGUCCAAGGUCACACGUCCGGGAAACAGUAAAACUGUGAUUUGAACCUGAGCCUGUUCAUCACCCCCUCUCCUGCCAUUUUAGAGGGGUAGAGGGAAAGAAGAGAGUAAAGAAGCCAGCUUCAACAGGGCUCGAAGCCCAGAGGGAAGGAUCAGCCACAAUCAAAUUUCCCCUCAUGGAAGAUCCAUUUAAAAUAUAGACCUCCCCCCACCCCCCGACAAUGGGGGGAGUGCAGCAGCUUCCUUUUAAUAUAUGAAGGACUGCUUUCUACAAGAUGGACAGGCCUCUACUUUUUAGCCGUGAAACAGAGGGAAGAGUAACCAGUGCUUCUCUACUGCUCCAGGAGGCGGCAGGCAUAGUAAUAAUGACAGUUCACAUUUAGCAGCCCCUUUACCAGUACCAGACUACUGUAAGCAUUCUAUAUGAAUUGACUCAUUUGAUCCUCACAACAACUCCAUUUUCUAGAUGAGAAAACUGAGGCACAAAAUGCUGAAGUAACUUGCCCAUGGUAGAGAAGAAAGGACGCUGGAUGAGAGAGGGAAGGGACCUGGAUUCUAGUCCGCCACUGCUGCUCACUGACCUGAGCAACUCUUUUCCCCCAGUCUGUUGUGAUUUCCUCUCUGUAAAAUGGGGAAGAUUGACCACA
Equus caballus (horse) is the source of this 900-nucleotide non-coding RNA. Lineage: Eukaryota; Metazoa; Chordata; Mammalia; Perissodactyla; Equidae. The record is from RefSeq and is a predicted model, not a curated record.